AUUGAACGCUGGCGGCAUGCCUUACACAUGCAAGUCGAACGGCAGCACGGGAGCAAUCCUGGUGGCGUGUGGCGAACGGGUGAGUAAAGUAUCGGAACGUGCCCAGUCGUGGGGGAUAACGUCGCGAGAGGUACGCUAAUACCGCACACGAUCUACGGGAGAAAGCGGGGGAUUGCAAGACCGCGCGCGAUGGGAGCGGCAUAUAUCAGAUUAGGUAGGUGGUGGGGUAAAGGCUCACCAAGCCGACGAUCUGUAGCUGGUCUGAGAGGACGACCAGCCACACUGGGACUGAGACACGGCCCAGACUCCUACGGGAGGCAGCAGUGGGGAAUUUUGGACAAUGGGCGAAAGCCUGAUCCAGCCAUGCCGCGUGCAGGAUGAAGGCCUUCGGGUUGUAAACUGCUUUUGUACGGAACGAAAAGGUUUGGCCUAAUAAGCUGAGCUCAUGACGGUACCGUAAGAAUAAGCACCGGCUAACUACGUGCCAGCAGCCGCGGUAA
RNAcentral lists this ribosomal RNA (500 nucleotides) under uncultured bacterium. Its description in RNAcentral is "partial 16S ribosomal RNA". It matches the Rfam family "Bacterial small subunit ribosomal RNA", at positions 29 to 523 of the family's 1533-position model. The record is from RNAcentral.